This 497-nucleotide ribosomal RNA is filed under the name uncultured bacterium. RNAcentral's name for it is "partial 16S ribosomal RNA". It matches the Rfam family "Bacterial small subunit ribosomal RNA", at positions 28 to 507 of the family's 1533-position model. The record is from RNAcentral.
GAUGAACGCUGGCGGCGUGCCUAAUACACGCAAGUCGAGCGAACAGACGAGGAGCUUGCUCCUCUGACGUUAGCGGCGGACGGGUGAGUAACACGUGGAUAACCUACCUAUAAGACUGGGAUAACUUCGGGAAACCGGAGCUAAUACCGGAUAAUAUAUUGAACCGCAUGGUUCAAUAGUGAAAGACGGUUUUGCUGUCACUUAUAGAUGGAUCCGCGCCGCAUUAGCUAGUUGGUAAGGUAACGGCUUACCAAGGCAACGAUGCGUAGCCGACCUGAGAGGGUGAUCGGCCACACUGGAACUGAGACGCGGUCCAGACUCCUACGGGAAGCAGCAGUAGGGAAUCUUCCGCAAUGGGCGAAAGCCUGACGGAGCAACGCCGCGUGAGUGAUGAAGGUCUUCGGAUCGUAAAACUCUGUUAUUAGGGAAGAACAAAUGUGUAAGUAACUAUGCACGUCUUGACGGUACCUAAUCAGAAAGCCACGGCUAACUACGUG